Chinchilla lanigera (long-tailed chinchilla) is the source of this 474-nucleotide long non-coding RNA. RefSeq lists it as uncharacterized. The record is from RefSeq and is a predicted model, not a curated record. NCBI's taxonomy places the organism in Eukaryota, Metazoa, Chordata, Mammalia, Rodentia, Chinchillidae. The transcript has 3 exons.
GUAAAAUUGUGGUGAUUUUGGACAAUCACUGGAUCCAGCCAAGCGAUGGUUUCCAAGCUCACUGAUAAAAUAAGAUGCUUAUCUGCAAGUUUUCUUAAUCUUUCCAGACAAAUGUAAAGAAAUCCUCAUGGAGAAGUAUACUUAUAAAUAAAGCACUUUGCAAUAAGAAAUAAAGAGUGAUUGACAGAAAAUGUGAUGAAUCACCCUCUGGAUUUCAACAUUCCUGAAAUGAACUGGAGAAAAGCCCUAAUGACAGGAGCUGUUGAUGGGCGCUUCCAACACUGGGGGUGCUCACUGGAUGAUCUUGUGGCCACCUUCUCCUCUUGGAAGAGGUUACCAGUGCCUAACCUCUUCUGCUCUUCCAGGAGGUGCUGUAAGUUAGAAGCACCUUGCCAUUAAGAAGGAAACCAAUUCCUUCCACAUUCCCUCAUAGCAGAGAUUCUUCAAAGAGGUAUUCAUCAUCGCUACUUUUGU